UCUUGCCAUAUCUAUCUGCGAUCCAUCUAAUCAAUGUCUGUUCGGUGUGAUGCCAGAGGCGGAGAAUAUACAAGUUUUUCUGCCCGAUAAUGAACAGGUCAUAUUUUGUCAAGAUAUCGUUUCAGUCGCUAUUUCUAUUGGCGAUUUGAUUGUUGCUUGACGAUAUUUUUAUCUUCUCGAUUUUUUUUUACUGAUCGGUUAUCGUAAUGUUUCGUCCACAGUUAUUUCUUCUUUAGGUUUUAGAUCACAUGGAUAUUAAUUUAAUGGGUCCCUUUUUGGAAUAAGUUGGUUGCAGAGAUCUUGUUGUCGUUUUGGACCCUUUGGAUUUUUAGAAGCUGAAAUAAUGUUUAUGAUCAUGGAUUUGAAUUGAUUGAUGAUAUACAGCAAGAAUUCAGAUCAAUUAUUUUGUUACAGUUUUGAAAUUUCCGACAAAUGUACACAGUAAAUAAUCCUAUUCUGGAUAGAUAAUCGCAGAUCGAUUGAUUUGGGACAUAAUGUCAUGACAUUAUAGACUUAAUAUUAUCAUUAUUAUAUGAUCUUAUCUUACUUUGGAAUUCUUCUCGUCAUCUCGGCGCCGCGGUUUAAAAUAUUCGGCGGAGAAUUUUUGGUCCAAGUCAGUGGUGUUGGUAAAUUCCUCAGACUCGAUACAUCGAACACUUCGAUGAAUCUUUGAUCAGAAAUUCUCGCUUUUGCUCCGGCAAAUCUUUGGUAUUCAUCGAAUAUGGACGUUAAACACCAGCUCUGUAGCUUUCUUAAACAACCCACAACGCAUCCUGUUCGAUGCUGUUUAUAUAAUAUUCAGAUCAUCAGAUUUCAAAAUUGGUAGUUUAUUUUUUUUAAUAUUUUGUUGACUGGUGUUUCUUUAUUUUUUUUUACCUUGCCUCUUUUGCAGUGGAUCAGAAUUGGGUGAUUCCUUACAUCUGCAACAGUCAGUCGGAAGGAAAAAUAUUUUAGAUCCAUGGAAAUUAAGAUUUUUUUCUAUGAAAUUAUGGGUUAUGUUUAUACCAAGUAAGAUUUUGAGUGAUUCACGGAUCGUUUCAUCAGGAAUGUUAACAAAAGGUUCCUGCAAAUAAAUUAUUUUUAAUAUCAAAAUCAAGAGAUCAUCAUUCAUUUUUUGUUCAUUCUUGAAAAAUCGGUACCUUUGUUCCAUCAAUACCGAAUUGGAAAAGAGUGAUUCCGUUUGCAUCAAGGAAUUUCAUGUUGGUUUCAGAGUAUGAUUCUGGACAGAGAUACCUAUCAAAAAUAUCACAUGACAGAUUGAUUCAAUUAUCUAAAAAGGAAUGAAAAUAACUUGAAUAUAGAGUAUAAUAAUGUUAAUUCUUACAAAAUUGAUUUGAGUUUCAGAGUCCUUAGGAAGCUGAAGUUAGUUGACAUAUCUGGGAAACCAGACCUGAAAACACCGUUGUCCACCAUAGAGAAGUUGAUAGGAGGAACAAGGAAUCCUCUCCGAGCAUCUACCAUCACCUUUUCAAUCAUAUUUUGUGCAGAUGGAGAUUGAUUAAUCACAGUAUCUCUUCCAGAAUCUUCACUAUCAUUCUCUUUCAACACAAGGCCAUUUAAAAAAACAUUCAUAUCUUUGCAAUCACCACCAGCAUCAGCACUCAUCUUAAUCUGCUGAUGUACAUGAGCAGCAGCAGUAGAAGCAGCAGCACCGCCAUCCUUGUUUAUGGAAACACCCAUUUUUGUUAUCACUGCUAAUUUAUCGCCGCCUCCGAUCUCAAAGACGGACCGGAGUGGCGUUUGAGACGUGCAGAAAGAUGGGUAGGAUUUUUAAUAAUCAGAAUGGGAGAGAAGGGGAAAUUUGUGGAUGUUCAGAUACUCUGAUGUUUGAUAGAGUUCUUGGUGAUGUCUUGCAGUCUUUAUAUAUUCUUUUUUUUCUUCAUUCCAGUUAAUAUUUUAAUAACAAGUUUGUAGUCUUAUCGCGUGCACAAUGACCAGGUUUCAAACUAGAUUUUUAUUUUUUUGACAGCAAAUAUCUCCUUUCAAUUAUCCAAGGGUGAAUUUUUUUAUCUAAACAGAGAGGUAAACACAAGCAACUCCAGAUCAGGUAAUCUUGCUUAAUUACUUGAUUGAUUAUAAAACAAUAUCUUCUGCUUUGAAACUCUAAUAUUAAAUGAGUGUCAUAUUCAAUGUAUCUUACAUAGUUACAUUGGUAGUUUAUUUUAUUUAGAACACUUGUUAUAACCACUAAUUGGAAGCAAUUUAUUAUCAAGAUUUUUUUCUUAGUUUUCUGCUGUUCACAAGAAUUUGAUUGGAUGUAAUCUUUUACUUUGUCAAUUGCCUACGUGUUUGCCUUUACUUCCAAGUUUUUAUUCUGGUCUUCAAAUCUAGAACUAUCUCUUUCUAAGUUCUUCAUCUCUUUGAUUGAAUAUGCUAUGGAUCUUUUAGAUUCGUCCAAUACCACUUUUUUAUAGGUGCUCUUCUGUUGAAUCCUAGCAGUGACUGUCCUACUUGUUUCAAUGCUAGCAGGGACUACCCUACUUGUUUCAAUGCUUGCAGUGCUUUGUUUCAUUAUCUUUGAUCACUGGUUUGGAAGUUAGGACCGUUGACUCUACUACAGCUUUGUUUUGAAUUCCUUUUCAGAGAGUUGUCCAAAUUUGAUUUUUCUUUCUUUCUUUUGAGCCAAAACUAAUGGCAGACGGAACAAAGAUGUUUCAAUUUGGUUAUCUAAUCUAAAGUUUCAUUUCUAAGUUGUUUUACAGCCGCCUUUUUGAAUGGAAAGUGGAUAAGUAUAAUUUUAUGUAGUGGUAUUUUUGUACUUCGAAUGUUAUCGUUUUUUUUAGUACUGAAACUCUGCAGAUGCCCAUUUGAUGUGUUAUGUAGACAACUAUUUUGAUUAUAGAUGUCUAAUAAAAUUUAUUAUUGAUGAUAUUAAAAUGGGUGGCAAUAAAUACUUUCUGAGUUUGUUGAGUUUAGUAAUUGGAAUGAGUACUUACGAUACGAUUUUAACACGAUGCGAACAUGAUACUUUCAUAAUAGUGUUUAGUUAGCGUCAAAAGUUUUAACACGAUUAAUAAUAGUGUCGAUUUAGUGUGUUGAAUAGAUACACAACUUU
This 3055-nucleotide long non-coding RNA is filed under the name Zostera marina. RNAcentral describes it as "long non-coding RNA (ZMAR_LNC005952)". The stretch from base 52 to 166 matches the Rfam family "Small nucleolar RNA snoR111". The record is from RNAcentral. Lineage: Eukaryota; Viridiplantae; Streptophyta; Magnoliopsida; Alismatales; Zosteraceae.